ACCAUCCCAGUUACAGCAGAAUAAAAGCAAAUGGCAAAUACUAAGAUAGGAGGUCUGAGAAUCACAGGGAUCUAGACAAACAUAUUCACCCAUCGAGGUCCCCAUCUGACCCAAGACAUGCCGGUGGUUAAUAUAGAAGGCUCGAAACCUGCAGCUUGUUUCUCCCAUUCACUGGUGCUGCCCUGCUCAAGAUUUCACGAAGAAGCAGCAUCAAAAGGAACAUUCCAGAGAAGAGGAUUGCUUCCUGACAAGCAUUCUGCUCUUCAUAGAACUGUCCCAGACUCCCAGUCUAGCUGCAAAUUUCUCUCUAUACCCUUGGCAGUCCAAGAGCAUGUUUGGUGUUGCUUCUGCUCUUAUAAAGAUACUUACAGAGGAAGCAAUAUUUUCUAGUCCUGUAUUUUUUUUUUCCCUUGUAGGAGCAUAUGUUGGAUAUGGUUAACCAAAGUAUUAUUUUUUUAGGAACUAUAUAUGUUUUUGUGCUUCAAAAGUUAUAAAAUUUUAAGCAACACCAAACAUUGUCCUUAAUGGAACCUAGAAAACCUCUGUGAGUUCACAGUUGCCCGCCGCCCCAUUGCCAUUUUUAAAGGUAUCAAAAUUAGGAAGUUUAUGGAGGCAUGAGCCACAAGAAGAUCGGUAAUAUUUGCUGGCUCAUUUAGAGUCUUGGUCCCAUAGUCCAAAAACCUACAAAAGCACCACCAAGGUGGUAGCCCAGUUGGAACGGAGUGUUUGCUUCCAACCAAGUGGUUCCAGGUUCGAAACGCGCGGGCGUCGAUUAAAUUCGGGGACCGGAUGCCCCAUGCCUGGACACGGGGUCUGGAAGCGCUACUGGUCGGCUGGUAGCCUGGGUGGUGCCAGGUGUGACGUACUCACACGGAGGGUCGGGUCGGAUAACUGAGCCGGCCCAC
Molecule: long non-coding RNA, 905 nt
Filed under: Phoenix dactylifera (date palm)
Lineage: Eukaryota; Viridiplantae; Streptophyta; Magnoliopsida; Arecales; Arecaceae
Description: long non-coding RNA (PDAC_LNC013780)
Source: RNAcentral